AGAGUUUGAUCCCUGGCUCAGAUUGAACGCUGGCGGCAGNCNUAACACAUGCAAGUCGAGCGGAUGACGGGAGCUUGCUCCUUGAUUCAGCGGCGGACGGGUGAGUAAUGCCUAGGAAUCUGCCUGGUAGUGGGGGACAACGUUUCGAAAGGAACGCUAAUACCGCAUACGUCCUACGGGAGAAAGCAGGGGACCUUCGGGCCUUGCGCUAUCAGAUGAGCCUAGGUCGGAUUAGCUAGUUGGUGGGGUAAUGGCUCACCAAGGCGACGAUCCGUAACUGGUCUGAGAGGAUGAUCAGUCACACUGGAACUGAGACACGGUCCAGACUCCUACGGGAGGCAGCAGUGGGGAAUAUUGGACAAUGGGCGAAAGCCUGAUCCAGCCAUGCCGCGNGUGUGAAGAAGGUCUUCGGAUUGUAAAGCACUUUAAGUUGGGAGGAAGGGCGAAAGCUAAUACCUUCUCUUUGACGGNAGCAGANACCCGCACU
RNAcentral lists this ribosomal RNA (487 nucleotides) under Pseudomonas sp. SFI7. RNAcentral's name for it is "bacterial SSU rRNA". It matches the Rfam family "Bacterial small subunit ribosomal RNA", at positions 8 to 494 of the family's 1533-position model. Lineage: Bacteria; Pseudomonadati; Pseudomonadota; Gammaproteobacteria; Pseudomonadales; Pseudomonadaceae. The record is from RNAcentral.